Long non-coding RNA from Ictalurus punctatus (channel catfish), 1412 nucleotides. The record is from Ensembl. NCBI's taxonomy places the organism in Eukaryota, Metazoa, Chordata, Actinopteri, Siluriformes, Ictaluridae.
AUUUCUGCGUUUUUGGGAUUGGCCCUUGCAGGUGCUGCGGCAGCGUGAAAUCUUGGGAGCAAGUGCAGUUUUCCACUUGUGAUGACGAAAACUGUACUCCUGGCCAUUUUUUCUCUAUUGUUGUUGUGGGUGAACCAAACCAAGAUGAGGAGGAUUAUACAGUUUAUCUCUGCCAUGCAGGGGAUUUCCCAUUCCACCUGCCGAUCGCAUCUUUCACACCAGAAACUCCAUCUUUCAUCAGACUCUCAGUUAGAACCUGUCAACUCUCUCAUGUACACUCUCAUGUUUUUUCUUCCUGCCCACACAAACAUGCAUAAGAACGCCUAAUGUGAAUGGACACUGUUAUUCACACUCACGCACACCCAGGAGUUACAACACCUGACUCAGGUCUUCGUUGUCUGAACUCCUAAGAACAGAUUUGUCUCACACUGCCUGAAAAGGGAAUGGCAAAAAGAAAGAGAUCAAAAACACUGUAUUCACUGAGAACAUAUUCCUCAGUCUAAUCAGUCCGGCUCCUCAGAAACCAGUUCACUUCAAAAUAUUGGUGAAACUGAGUGAAAUUCCAACUAGGACUACUGUUUACUUAUUGCGCCCAUAUGUAUGUAUAUAUACAACCCCUGGCAAAAAGAAACGGAAUCACCAAACUAAACAAAUCACAGAUCACUGAAAUCAGAUCACUCAAACAAGUUCAAUGAAAUGAUUUGCAUUAAUGGCAUACUAAGUAGACUUGAUCUGGAAAUCUGAAAAUAUGCCAUUAAUUAAAGCAAUUGAAUUUGUUUGAGGUGUGUUCCAUGAAGCCAGAAUCUUUAGCUGUUAAUCAAAAAUUGUUUUGUGUCAUAAAGCCUCCUCUAAGGGUGGUGAUUCCAUAAUGUUUUGCCAGGGGCUUUGUGUGUGUGUGUGUGUGUGUGUGUGUGUGUGUGUGUGUGUAUAUAUCACUAUUUCCCUGACAAUAAUCAAAAGUGUAUUAUUAAAAAUGAUCAUUAUUUAUCACUUGAUAUAAUUUGUUGAUAUGUACAUUUGUUAGAAUAUUUUCUUCUAGCUCUCCUUCCCACUGUGAAUACCCCCCUUUCUCUACCGCUUGAGCAGUAGCAUCUCUCAGCAGUUUAUUAUUUAUUGACUGAUUGUUGUAGUGAUAGCUGCAAAUGAAAUGCAGUCAUUUCACGUCAUUUCAUUUUUCCUGGAUCUGCUACCUUGGCAGAGGUUUUUCUUCCUCCCCACCCGUAAUGGGAACCCAUCUUUUUUACUCUUUUAGAGAGGAAUAACAUUAACCUACAGGCAGAAGCUUCUUCAGCUGACUUGUAUGGAAUGACCUGUUCCAGCUACCCUUCAAGUUUGUUGUAGUGUGCUUGUAAAUAUGUUUCUGAACAUUGGACAUAUGUACUGGGAUUAAUUAAAAUCUAAAUACCUCUUCA